GAUGAACGCUGGCGGCGUGCCUAACACAUGCAAGUCGAGCGAUUCUCUUCGGAGAAGAGCGGCGGACGGGUGAGUAACGCGUGGGUAACCUGCCUCAUACACAUGGAUAACAUACCGAAAGGUAUGCUAAUACAGGAUAACAUAAGAGAUUCGCAUGUUUCUCUUAUCAAAGCUCCGGCGGUAUGAGAUGGACCCGCGUCUGAUUAGCUAGUUGGUAAGGUAAUGGCUUACCAAGGCGACGAUCAGUAGCCGACCUGAGAGGGUGAUCGGCCACAUUGGAACUGAGACACGGUCCAAACUCCUACGGGAGGCAGCAGUGGGGAAUAUUGCACAAUGGGCGAAAGCCUGAUGCAGCAACGCCGCGUGAGUGAUGAAGGCCUUCGGGUCGUAAAACUCUGUCCUCAAGGAAGAU
RNAcentral lists this ribosomal RNA (412 nucleotides) under uncultured bacterium. RNAcentral describes it as "bacterial SSU rRNA". It matches the Rfam family "Bacterial small subunit ribosomal RNA", at positions 28 to 449 of the family's 1533-position model. The record is from RNAcentral.